RNAcentral lists this ribosomal RNA (482 nucleotides) under uncultured bacterium. RNAcentral describes it as "partial 16S ribosomal RNA". It matches the Rfam family "Bacterial small subunit ribosomal RNA", at positions 30 to 507 of the family's 1533-position model. The record is from RNAcentral.
AUUGAACGCUGGCGGCAUGCUUUACACAUGCAAGUCGAACGGUAACAGGCCGCAAGGUGCUGACGAGUGGCGCACGGGUGAGUAAUGCAUCGGAACGUGCCCAGUCGUGGGGGAUAACUACUCGAAAGAGUAGCUAAUACCGCAUACGAUCUAUGGAUGAAAGCGGGGGACCGUAAGGCCUCGCGCGAUUGGAGCGGCCGAUGUCAGAUUAGGUAGUUGGUGGGGUAAAGGCUCACCAAGCCAACGAUCUGUAGCUGGUCUGAGAGGACGACCAGCCACACUGGGACUGAGACACGGCCCAGACUCCUACGGGAGGCAGCAGUGAGGAAUUUUGGACAAUGGGCGCAAGCCUGAUCCAGCAAUGCCGCGUGCAGGAAGAAGGCCUUCGGGUUGUAAACUGCUUUUGUACGGAACGAAACGGCUCUGGUUAAUACCCGGGGCUAAUGACGGUACCGUAAGAAUAAGCACCGGCUAACUACGUG